AUUAGGGUAAUGAAGAAAAGCCAUGCCUGCCCUGCUGUGCAGAUCUCAUUUCAGCAAAACUGCCUGGGCUCCUGCUGUUACCCUUGUUUGAUUUUUAACCAGUAUGAGCUGUUACGUAGCAGUUGCAUGUGAAGAGAAGACGGAGUGGAAGUCGUUGUCAGCGGAUCCUGUCCUAAGCUGGGCCUGAAGAGUUCAUCCAGCUGACUGGUGUGAGUACCCUGAAGGGAGGGGAAGGAGCAUGUCACUGGGAAAUCCUGACUUGAGGCACCAAAAUCGCAUCUGUCUCUUAUGACUUG
This 296-nucleotide long non-coding RNA is filed under the name Manacus vitellinus (golden-collared manakin). RNAcentral's name for it is "lncRNA (ENSMVIG00005016422.1)". Lineage: Eukaryota; Metazoa; Chordata; Aves; Passeriformes; Pipridae. The record is from RNAcentral.